Molecule: ribosomal RNA, 814 nt
Filed under: uncultured bacterium
Lineage: Bacteria
Description: bacterial SSU rRNA
Rfam family: Bacterial small subunit ribosomal RNA
Source: RNAcentral
UAGGCAUGCAGUCGUGCGGAAGGCCCCGCAAGGGGUACUCGAGCGGCGAAAGGGAUAGUAACACGUGGAUUACCUACCUCCCGGACGGGGAUAGCUGCGGGAAACUGCAAUUAAUACCCGAUGACGUCUUCGGACCAAAGGUGUGAUUCCGCCGGGAGACGGGUCCGCGUCCUAUUAGCUAGUUGGCAGGGUAACGGCCUACCAAGGCUCAGAUGGGUAGCGGGUGUGAGAGCACGACCCGCAUCACUGGGACUGAGACACUGCCCAGACACCUACGGGUGGCUGCAGUCGAGGAUCUUCGGCAAUGGGCGAAAGCCUGACCGAGCGACGCCGCGUGCGGGAUGAAGGCCUUCGGGUUGUAAACCGCUGUCAGUGGGGAGGAAAUAUCAGAGGGAACACCCUCUGGUUUGACCUAUCCGCAGAGGAAGGACGGGCUAAGUUCGUGCCAGCAGCCGCGGUAAUACGAACCGUCCUAACGUUAUUCGGAAUCACUGGGCUUAAAGGGUGCGUAGGCGGCCCGAUAAGUUGGGUGUGAAAUCCCUCGGCUCAACCGAGGAAUUGCGCUCAAAACUGUCGGGCUUGAGGAAGAUAGAGGUAAGCGGAACUUAGGGUGGAGCGGUGAAAUGCGUUGAUAUCCUAAGGAACACCGGUGGCGAAAGCGGCUUACUGGGUCUUUACUGACGCUGAGGCACGAAAGCUAGGGUAGCGAACGGGAUUAGAUACCCCGGUAGUCCUAGCCGUAAACGAUGAGCACUAGGUCGGAGGAUACUCCAUAGUCUUCUGGCCGUAGCGAAAGUGUUAAGUGCUCCGCCUG